RNAcentral lists this ribosomal RNA (449 nucleotides) under uncultured bacterium. RNAcentral describes it as "partial 16S ribosomal RNA". It matches the Rfam family "Bacterial small subunit ribosomal RNA", at positions 338 to 795 of the family's 1533-position model. The record is from RNAcentral.
CCUACGGGAGGCUGCAGUAAGGAAUAUUGGUCAAUGGACGCAAGUCUGAACCAGCCAUGCCGCGUGGAGGAUGAAGGUCCUCUGGAUUGUAAACUUCUUUUAUUUGGGAAGAAACUCCCGAUUUCCAUCGGGUUUGACGGUACCAGAUGAAUAAGCACCGGCUAACUCCGUGCCAGCAGCCGCGGUAAUACGGAGGGUGCAAGCGUUAUCCGGAUUCAGUGGGUUUAAGGGGUGCGGUAAUGGAGUGGUAAAAUGUCCGGGCUUAACCCGGAAACUGCCAAUGAUACUAUUUGUCUUGAAUACUCUGGAGGUGAGCGGAAUAUGUCAUGUAGCGGUGAAAUGCUUAGAUAUGACAUAGAACACCCAUUGCGAAGGCAGCUCACUACGGAAAUAUUGACGCUGAGGCACGAAAGCGUGGGGAUCAAACAGGAUUAGAUACCCGAGUAGUC